RNAcentral lists this unclassified non-coding RNA (240 nucleotides) under uncultured fungus. RNAcentral's name for it is "sequence contains ITS2". The stretch from base 1 to 52 matches the Rfam family "5.8S ribosomal RNA", at positions 103 to 154 of the family's 154-position model. Lineage: Eukaryota; Fungi. The record is from RNAcentral.
AACGCACAUUGCGCCCCUUGGUAUUCCGAGGGGCAUGCCUGUUCGAGCGUCAUUAUAACCACUCAAGCCUCGGCUUGGUAUUGGGGUUCGCGAUCUCGCGGCCCUUAAAAUCAGUGGCGGUGCCGUCUGGCUCUAAGCGUAGUAAUUUCUCUCGCUAUAGGGCCUGGUGGUUACUUGCCAUUAACCCCCCCAUUUUCUUAGGUUGACCUCGGAUCAGGUAGGGAUACCCGCUGAACUUAA